This 497-nucleotide ribosomal RNA is filed under the name uncultured bacterium. RNAcentral's name for it is "partial 16S ribosomal RNA". It matches the Rfam family "Bacterial small subunit ribosomal RNA", at positions 28 to 507 of the family's 1533-position model. The record is from RNAcentral.
GAUGAACGCUGGCGGGGUGCCUAAUACAUGCAAGUCGAGCGAACGGACGAGAAGCUUGCUUCUCUGAUGUUAGCGGCGGACGGGUGAGUAACACGUGGAUAACCUACCUAUAAGACUGGGAUAACUUCGGGAAACCGGAGCUAAUACCGGAUGAUAUUUUGAACCGCAUGGUUCAAAAGUGAAAGACGGUCUUGCUGUCACUUAUAGAUGGAUCCGCGCUGCAUUAGCUAGUUGGUAAGGUAACGGCUUACCAAGGCAACGAUGCAUAGCCGACCUGAGAGGGUGAUCGGCCACACGGGAACUGAGACACGGUCCAGACUCCUACGGGAGGCAGCAGUAGGGAAUCUUACGCAAUGGGCGAAAGCCUGACGGAGCAACGCCGCGUGAGUGAUGAAGGUCUUCGGAUCGUAAAACUCUGUUAUUAGGGAAGAACAUAUGUGUAAGUAACUGUGCACAUCUUGACGGUACCUAAUCAGAAAGCCACGGCUAACUACGUG